CUGCGUCCUGGUGAGGACACUGCGUUUCUUUCAGACUUUGAAGAUCUGUCGUUUUAGAAAAGUGGCUGCCUCUGUCACCAGCCCCAUGGUUACUGUCCUGUAGUGUGACUGUCAGGAGGUGUUUCUCAGUCCUUCGUUGUAAGAAUGUAGAUGCCGGUUGCACCUUCUGUUGUCUUGGAAGAGACUGCAGUGCUUGGCUGGAAAAUAAGCUGCUCGGGACUCCUCUGAGAAGCCAAAGUGAAGCUCAGAGAUGGAGAAUUUGGGCAGUUGUCUGGACAUUAGGAGUUGAGUCACCUCCUACCCAUGAGGAACAAGCCUGUGGGGGGACUGAUAUUAUCACUUCUGUCAUCAAGAAAUAAGGCCGCAGGCAUCCCUGAAUAUAGAGCAUUUAUUAAUCGAACUGUGAAAAUGAAACACAGACAGUGAUGACAGCUGGAAGUUGGCCAAUGUCCUGUUGUCAUAUUGCCCUCAGCCUAGGGACUGGCCUGUGGCUCACUGACCCUGUCUCCCACUCUCCACCUCUCAUCAGCACCUGGACCUGGUGCACCUGGUCUACCUCAUGUCCAGUGUUUUCCGCAGUACCUGACUGGUAUCCCCACCCUUGGUUGUUGUGUGGUGAGCUCGUCCCUAUGUUGGCAAGUUACUUAAUUCCUAGGUGUCCCGCCUUCCUCACUGUAAAAUGAGAAUAGUCAUAGCACGAAUGUCAUGAAUCCUUGUGAAGAUUUUAUGAUUAGCACACGAGUUACAAGGAGACACGAUAACUGUUACGUACGUACUCAUUCGUUCGGAAAUACAACAGACAGCUUAGUAUCUCCACCCGGGUCCCUCUGCCCUGUGGGAAUCCAUAAAGAAUUGAUUCUCAUCCCCCAGAAGUGAGAUCCCAUUUAUUUAUUAGGUAUCAGGCACAGCAUCUGCUUCAAAGAACACAUCGACGACAGGGGAGCCCCUUGCACUCACUCAGGACAGGAGAAUCAGGAAAAGCAGCAGAUCUGCAGGG
RNAcentral lists this long non-coding RNA (997 nucleotides) under Homo sapiens (human). RNAcentral describes it as "HSALNT0037807". Lineage: Eukaryota; Metazoa; Chordata; Mammalia; Primates; Hominidae. The record is from RNAcentral.